UUUUUUUUUUUUUUUUCCCUUCUCCCACCCCCUUCUCUCUGCUGAUCCCCGCGACCUGCGUUUUCCUGGGGGUCCGGAACUCUGGACCCAAAGCGUCGGCCACCCCCUCAGGACAACUGGUAUCUCAUCAGAGCACUCUCUUGCCCAUGUCCACCCAUAAGCAGAUGGCCUCCCGCACCCCCCCCCCACCCUGGAGGAUUUCUUAAUGGGGUGAAAAUGCCAGUCCCCGAAGCCAGGGCUCCCGGACCCCCAGGGCCGAGCUGGGCGCGGGAGCCCCGCAGGGGCGGAGAGGCCGGCUGAGGUAGGUGGAGGAACUAUUUCUUGACGUAAUCCGUCUCUGUCGCCCCGACGCUCCCGCAGUCUCUGCGCGAGCCGAGAUCAGCGAUUGUCAGUUCGGAACGUGGCUUUUAAAAAUGCGUUUUUAAAUAGUGUCUUGAAGAAGUGGAGGAGAGAUCAGCACAAGUUAAGUGGGGCGUCCCCAUCCCGUCUUCCUGCUCACCCUCCUUUGCCCCCAACUCCAUCUCUGCGACACCCUGCCCCCCCAAAAGAAGUCACUCCAGGGCUCUGUCUGCAGAGAGCCAGGGUGAGUGCGGGCAAGGCGAGAGAGAGAGCGACCUCGGUCGUGGGCAAGUAGCUUGUUUUUACGUCCUUCAAUAAAAUUUUUAUGAGGAUCA
This is a long non-coding RNA of Felis catus (domestic cat), 674 nucleotides long. RefSeq lists it as uncharacterized. The transcript has 2 exons. The record is from RefSeq and is a predicted model, not a curated record. NCBI's taxonomy places the organism in Eukaryota, Metazoa, Chordata, Mammalia, Carnivora, Felidae.